Molecule: long non-coding RNA, 1048 nt
Organism: Physeter macrocephalus (sperm whale)
Lineage: Eukaryota; Metazoa; Chordata; Mammalia; Artiodactyla; Physeteridae
Exons: 4
Source: RefSeq, a predicted model, not a curated record
GGGAAAUAAAUUGAAGAUCUGAGAAAAAGCAGGUGGCCCCUGUACACACUCAGGGCCCAUGGCAGGGACUGCAAUCUGUCCACAACACAAAUCAGGAAACAGAGACAAUUGAAGCAUAAGACCCACAGGCUUUUCCUCAAACAUCCUUUACCGCUCCCACCAAGUGUCACCAGUGCACAUCUCUGAUGGUGGGCUUGAUAAGACAAGGCUGCACCUGUGAAGGGCAGCAGAGGCAGGCUCUGAGCUGAGCUCCCAGGAGCAUCUCCUGCUGCCAGCAUUACUCAGUCUCUGCUGAGCCUGGGACAGCUCCACCAUUGUCACAAGAAAAUGGUGCAUCUGGAAGCUGCCACCACUGCUGCAGCCCUCAGAACCUGCAACUUCUGCCGGAGUCAGGAAAGACCCCGUUGCUGCAGAGUUAAGAGAGCUUCCAUCAAAUGCGGAAACCACCACUGCAGCUGUGACCUCACACUCCCUCUGCCAAGAUCCAAGCCAGUAAAAUGGAUGCGCUACAUCUGGCAUCUCUCCGACGUCUCCACUUUGUUAGCUUAGUAGUUAGCUAAUGAUUUUGCAGAGAUUUCUUUAAACAUCCGGAACCAGUGACUCUCCCACACUUUGCUGAAGAGCUCUGUGUGCAAGUGGGGUCACUUCUCCAACACUCAGCCCGGCAGGUGACAGCACGUUAUACUUGUGCAAAGCCUCAAGAAUAUUGGAAGAAAUAAUGGCAGAAAACCUCCCAAAUUCGAUGAAAAACAUUUAUCUAUGCAUACAAUGUCAGCCAGAGCUCCCUCAGGUAUCCAGUGGCUUCUAGGAUGCACUGUGAAUGCAGGCUGCCAUUUUUCAAGGCUACUGAGGAGCUGGAAAUGGAGCAUGGGCCUAGGGCGAGUUAAACCACCACAAAGCUCAGACUUCUUACCAAGAUUCGGCUUUUUCUUUUUUUAUUUUAAAUAAAUCCUCCUCCGAUUGCCACAAACCUUGGUUAAUUCCUAGAGUUCUAAAAAAGUUGUUUCUGAUGAAUUUUGCUCGUUUUCUCAUUUCUUUUAUGAAGGAG